Molecule: ribosomal RNA, 450 nt
Filed under: uncultured bacterium
Lineage: Bacteria
Description: partial 16S ribosomal RNA
Rfam family: Bacterial small subunit ribosomal RNA
Source: RNAcentral
ACCAGACUCCUACGGGAGGCAGCAGUGGGGAAUAUUGGGCAAUGGGCGCAAGCCUGACCCAGCAACGCCGCGUGAAGGAAGAAGGCUUUCGGGUUGUAAACUUCUUUUCUCAGGGACGAAGCAAGUGACGGUACCUGAGGAAUAAGCCACGGCUAACUACGUGCCAGCAGCCGCGGUAAUACGUAGGUGGCAAGCGUUAUCCGGAUUUACUGGGUGUAAAGGGCGUGUAGGCGGGACUGCAAGUCAGAUGUGUAAACCAUGGGCUCAACCUAAGGCCUGCAUUUGAAACUGUAGUUCUUGAGUGCUGGAGAGGCAGACGGAAUUCCUAGUGUAGCGGUGAAAUGCGUAGAUAUUAGGAGGAACACCAGUGGCGAAGGCGGUCUGCUGGACAGCAACUGACGCUGAGGCGCGAAAGCGUGGGGAGCAAACAGGAUUAGAUGCCCGAGUACU